Molecule: transfer RNA, 96 nt
Filed under: Colletotrichum gloeosporioides
Lineage: Eukaryota; Fungi; Ascomycota; Sordariomycetes; Glomerellales; Glomerellaceae
Also listed under: 1 other name
Rfam family: tRNA
About the family: Transfer RNA (tRNA) molecules are approximately 80 nucleotides in length. Their secondary structure includes four short double-helical elements and three loops (D, anti-codon, and T loops). Further hydrogen bonds mediate the characteristic L-shaped molecular structure. tRNAs have two regions of fundamental functional importance: the anti-codon, which is responsible for specific mRNA codon recognition, and the 3' end, to which the tRNAs corresponding amino acid is attached (by aminoacyl-tRNA synthetases). tRNAs cope with the degeneracy of the genetic code in two manners: having more than one tRNA (with a specific anti-codon) for a particular amino acid; and 'wobble' base-pairing, i.e. permitting non-standard base-pairing at the 3rd anti-codon position.
Source: Rfam by way of RNAcentral
UCCUCAUUGGCGCAAUCGGUUUAGCGCGUCCGACUUUUACGGCUGGUCCUGGCCGAGGAAAUCGGAAGGUUGUGGGUUCGAGUCCCACAUGAGGAG